GAGAAAACCCAUGUGCGUAGGUACAGAUGCAAAAUACAGCAUUUUCUCUCUGCAAGGGACCGUAUUUGGAGACUUGCAGCAUCAGCAAGAAUCGCUCCAGUUGUCUCAGUAUCACCCAGAUGUUCUGGGUAUGAAGAUUCUAAACCAAAAUAUGCCUUCUGUAUAUUUUGCUGCUCUGUGAAAGACUCAGCUCCAGGCUGACCCAGAUGCACGGGAAAGUGUAUACAAAGCAGGGCGAGGAGCGUGGAAAGCAGGACUGUAUGUCCACAUUGAUGGCAGCUCUGAAAAGCCAACCUCCAUGCGGAGACAGGUGGGAGGGGCUGCUGGGAGAAGUCUGUUGGAGCUUGUUCAUGCUGAGAGGUUGGGGGUGUGAUUUGAGGUACAGUUUUUUCAAUAAUUAGUAUGAAGUUAAAAAAAAAAAGCAUGCAUUCUUUUGAAGGCAGGGGCCUUGCUCUACUGACCCCUUUUGGUCGCUUGUGGACCGAGGAGUCAGGGUAAGGGAGCCCAAAAGUGGGGAGGUCCUGAGAUGGUUCUCACCGGUGUGUUGUGGCUGGGUAACCUGGGAAGCCGGGAGGAGGACAAGCUGCAGGUUUUCACGGCAUCUGGAGGCCUUUCCUGGGAGGCCCUGCCUGCGGUGUUCUGGUGAAAACCCGUUCCUUCCCCCGAGCCUCCUGAGCAUCUGCAACUGGUAUGCGCUCCAGGGGCUGCUGAGGGGGCCUGGCCUGCUGCCCACCUCUUAGCUGGCUCUGCAACUGCAGGAAGGAGGGGUCUGCACCCCACGGGGCCACUGCCUUGGAAGCUGUGAGGCUGUCAAGACUCUGGAUCUGCAACUUCUCCAUCUGGCUGGAAAGGAAGCAGGGGAAGAAGCUGCUGGGAUGGAAUGACGCCCUGAGGAUUUCACUCCCCUCUUCCUACCACACACCAGACCGGGCCACCAGGAUGCCUGGGACAUUUGGUUGUUUCUAGGUUUUGGCCAUUAUGAAUAAAGCUACUAUAAACAUCUGUAUACAAGUUUCUGUGUGGACAUAAGUUUUCAACUCCUUUGGAGAAAUUUCAGAGAUCAUGACUGCUGGAUUAUAUGGAGACCCCACACAGCAGAAUGGAAGCUUCUGGUGACCAGUCUUCCACUUCCCUUGCAGAGGAGACAUUGAUCACCAUGAAGACAGGCCGUAAGCAAAAGCUGGGGACAGAAAUGUUUGGGGUUGUGUACCAGGCCGUUGUUUCUAGGUACCUCUGCAGGAUCUCGAAGGACUUCCCUGAGAUCACCAAGGGACAGAAAUUCACAUUGCACACCUCCGUGGGUCACCAUUCACAUUUCAGUCUGCUGGGGAACGGUACUCCAGGGUGCCUUUCACACGGUCUACAAUGGGGGAUGUGUAGUGUGACUCAGUAUUUUCCCUCUCUGUGUUUGAUAGAUGUCUCUGGCAUUCUAUAAAACAAUGGCUUUUUCACAGGUGGUCCUGGCACCUCCACUGGACUUCAGUGGGGUACUCCCUGCUCUAUCGCCUGUCUUCCUGCUAUGACUGGAUACAGGCUGGUAAGAGAAGGGUGAGCAUGUCAUUCUGCGUUCUUUUCCCUUUUCUGCUAACCCACGAAGCUCUCCAGUGAAUCGCCAUGAGCAGAUGAGACCAAAUUAGAACAAAAUCCCUCCACUCCAGAGACUGAAGCUAGGUCUUCCUGAAAAAGUAUUUAAUAUAGUUUUAAUGUUCAUAUAAUCCUUAAAUCUGGCUAAUUUUUAAGAACCUUCCAUUUGCAAGAUUACAUUUACGACUUUCUCUCAGUGCCUCGAUUUUCUCAUCUGUAAGAUGGGCUGUAAUAUAAUGGGUUAUUGAGAGCAUCAUAUGAAUUAAUAUAAGAAAAGUCCUUCUGUCAAGUACUAAGUGUUAUUAUUAAAUGAGAAAUGUAAUAAAUAAGCACGUACAAUGAUGGUUUUUUUUCUUUUUCUUUUUAAAUAAGAUGGGGUCUUGCUACGUU
This is a non-coding RNA of Macaca mulatta (Rhesus monkey), 1974 nucleotides long. NCBI's taxonomy places the organism in Eukaryota, Metazoa, Chordata, Mammalia, Primates, Cercopithecidae. The record is from RefSeq and is a predicted model, not a curated record.